GUUGCUUCUUCAGAAAGUCAAAAGAGCUUUUGGGUUUUUGUCUUUUUGAUUGGUGACUGAAUGAAGGAAGGGGAUUAGGAUGAUGAUGACGUGGAAGUGUGAAUGUAAUAACGGGAUUGUGGUUGGUGAGUGUGGAUAAGCUUCACUUUAGUCCCCACCUCUCAGCUCCAAACUCAGUUUUAUCAUGUUUCCCUAGUAACGAAUCGGAUCAAGCCCAAAAUGGCCGGAGCCUGAUCAGGAGGAUUAGCCUUGUCAUAAGCAGCUAUGAGGCUGGACGCUACUUCAUGAAGCUUGUCUUCCACGGCAGGCUUAGCUUCAGGGCUGCAUCAGAUGUAACUCAAAAUCACCACAAGCUCAGAGCUCAAAACUCAAGGCAAUGUAGGAUAUGUUACCUAGCCAAUGUAGCUUGUAAAGGAUAUGAAAGCAAAUCCAACACUACUUUUUGUCUGAAUCUGUCACCAAAUGAAAAUCCCAUCCUUGAGAAGCUCGACUGCUUCUUGUAAUCUAUGAUCAACGUGAAGUGAAGGAAAUAACAGCUUUAAAACCUGGCCUACAGAAGUUGCCCCAUGCCGCUUUGAUAGUUUACUUCUGCUAACUUUUGUUACCCCUGUAUUAUGUCUUUUUAAAAAUGUAAUCGUUGAC
Molecule: long non-coding RNA, 642 nt
Organism: Raphanus sativus (radish)
Lineage: Eukaryota; Viridiplantae; Streptophyta; Magnoliopsida; Brassicales; Brassicaceae
Exons: 2
Source: RefSeq, a predicted model, not a curated record